AAAAAUUGUAGUAAGUAAAUUUAUAUUAGUAAUAGUUAAGAUCUUUAAAGUAAAAAAAUUUGGCGGUAAUUUAAUCUAUUCAGAGGAACCUGUUCUAUAAUUGAUAGUCCACGAUUUAAUUUACUUUUUUUUAAAAUUUGUAUAUCGUUGUAUAGAAUAUUUUUUUAGAAUUUUAAUAUUCAAUAAAUAAUUAAGUUAAAUAAAUUCAAAUCAAGGUGCAGUUUAUAAAAAAGAAGAAAUGGGUUACAAUAUAAUUUAAAUGUAUAGUGAAUUAAAAUUUUUAAGGUUUUAUGAAAUUGGAUUUGAAUGUAAUUAUAAAUAAAUUUUUAUAAUGAUUUAGUUCUAAAUUAUG
This 352-nucleotide ribosomal RNA is filed under the name Symbiotes gibberosus. Its description in RNAcentral is "partial 12S ribosomal RNA". Lineage: Eukaryota; Metazoa; Arthropoda; Insecta; Coleoptera; Endomychidae. The record is from RNAcentral.